GGGGGGGGGGGGGGGGGGGGGGGGGGGGGGGGGGGGGGGGGGGCGGGCGGGGAGCUUGCUCCUCGGACGUUAGCGGCGGGCGGGUGAGUGACACGGGGAUAACCUACCUAUAAGACUGGGAUAACUUCGGGAAACCGGAGCUAAUACCGGAUAAUAUAUUGAACCGCAUGGUUCAAUAGUGAACGACGGUUUUGCUGUCACUUAUAGAUGGAUCCGCGCCGCAUUAGCUAGUUGGUAAGGUAACGGCUUACCAAGGCGACGAUGCGUAGCCGACCUGAGAGGGUGAUCGGCCACACGGGAACUGAGACACGGUCCAGACUCCUACGGGAGGCAGCAGUAGGGAAUCUUCCGCAAUGGGCGAAAGCCUGACGGAGCAACGCCGCGUGAGUGAUGAAGGUCUUCGGAUCGUAAAACUCUGUUAUUAGGGAAGAACAAAUGUGUAAGUAACUAUGCACGUCUUGACGGUACCUAAUCAGAAAGCCACGGCUAACUACGUG
This 497-nucleotide ribosomal RNA is filed under the name uncultured bacterium. RNAcentral describes it as "partial 16S ribosomal RNA". It matches the Rfam family "Bacterial small subunit ribosomal RNA", at positions 27 to 507 of the family's 1533-position model. The record is from RNAcentral.